CCUACGGGAGGCAGCAGUGGGGAAUAUUGGACAAUGGGGGCAACCCUGAUCCAGCCAUGCCGCGUGUGUGAAGAAGGCCCUCGGGUUGUAAAGCACUUUCAGUGAGGAAGAACGCCUGGUGGUUAAUACCCAUCAGGAAAGACAUCACUCACAGAAGGAGCACCGGCUAACUCCGUGCCAGCAGCCGCGGUAAUACGGAGGGUGCGAGCGUUAAUCGGAAUUACUGGGCGUAAAGCGCGCGUAGGUGGCUUGAUAAGCCGGUUGUGAAAGCCCCGGGCUCAACCUGGGAACGGCAUCCGGAACUGUCAAGCUAGAGUGCAGGAGAGGAAGGUAGAAUUCCCGGUGUAGCGGUGAAAUGCGUAGAGAUCGGGAGGAAUACCAGUGGCGAAGGCGGCCUUCUGGACUGACACUGACACUGAGGUGCGAAAGCGUGGGUAGCAAACAGGAUUAGAUACCCUGGUAGUC
This 465-nucleotide ribosomal RNA is filed under the name Vreelandella stevensii. RNAcentral describes it as "partial 16S ribosomal RNA". It matches the Rfam family "Bacterial small subunit ribosomal RNA", at positions 338 to 795 of the family's 1533-position model. The record is from RNAcentral. Lineage: Bacteria; Pseudomonadati; Pseudomonadota; Gammaproteobacteria; Oceanospirillales; Halomonadaceae.